GUUGUAUGGUUAAGUGACUAAGCGUACACGGUGGAUGCCUGGGCAGUCAGAGGCGAUGAAGGACGUACUAACUUGCGAUAAGCGCAGAUAAGGCAGUAAGAGCCGUUUGAGUCUGCGAUUUCCGAAUGGGGAAACCCAACUGCAUAAGCAGUUACUGUUAACUGAAUACAUAGGUUAACAGAGCAAACCGGGGGAACUGAAACAUCUAAGUACCCCGAGGAGAAGAAAUCAACCGAGAUUCCGGUAGUAGCGGCGAGCG
Molecule: ribosomal RNA, 259 nt
Filed under: Vibrio cholerae
Lineage: Bacteria; Pseudomonadati; Pseudomonadota; Gammaproteobacteria; Vibrionales; Vibrionaceae
Description: partial 23S ribosomal RNA
Rfam family: Bacterial large subunit ribosomal RNA
Source: RNAcentral